UAAUAUAGAGUUUCAUUCUUACUUUAUAAUUUAUUAGAAACACUAAAUAAUAGAAAGCCAAUGGGAUUAGAUACCCCAGUAACCUAUUACCUUAACAUAGAAAUUAUUAUAAAUAUAAAAUCCGCCUGAGUAGUAUAACCUAUUGGUUGAAAUUCAAAAAGUUUGGCUGUUCAUUUUCCAAUUAGAGGAUUGUGUCGUUUAAUUUGAUAAUCCGCAAAAUACCUUACCUUAUUUAGAUAUUCAGGUGCUGCAUGGCCGUCAUCAGUUUGUAUUUAAAAUAAACAGACUCAAUCUUACAGCUGAAGUCAGGUAUUAUGGCCCUAAUAAUAAGGGAUUGAUGCAAUACAUUUUUAAAGAGAAUUAAAAUUUUAAAGCUAAUUAAAUUUGAAAAUUUUAUGAAGUAGAAUUUAAAAGUAAUCGAGGACAAUAAGGCCUCGGUGAAUAGGUUCAAAUGUUAGUACAAAUUGCCCGUCACCUUUAAUAACUAAUAAUAAUUGUUAGAAAUUAAAGUAAGUCGUAACAUAGUGAGGGAAAGGGAACUUUUCCUUGAGUUUUU
RNAcentral lists this ribosomal RNA (556 nucleotides) under Stomolophus sp. CG-2019. RNAcentral's name for it is "12S ribosomal RNA". It matches the Rfam family "Bacterial small subunit ribosomal RNA", at positions 708 to 1533 of the family's 1533-position model. Lineage: Eukaryota; Metazoa; Cnidaria; Scyphozoa; Rhizostomeae; Stomolophidae. The record is from RNAcentral.